Molecule: ribosomal RNA, 253 nt
Filed under: uncultured bacterium
Lineage: Bacteria
Description: partial 16S ribosomal RNA
Rfam family: Bacterial small subunit ribosomal RNA
Source: RNAcentral
UACGAAGGGGGCUAGCGUUGCUCGGAAUUACUGGGCGUAAAGCGUGCGUAGGCGGUUUCCUAAGUCGGAUGUGAAAGCCCUGGGCUCAACCUGGGAAUGGCACUCGAUACUGGGAAGCUGGAGUGCGGUAGAGGAGGGUGGAAUUCCCGGUGUAGCGGUGAAAUGCGUAGAGAUCGGGAGGAACAUCAGUGGCGAAGGCGACCCUCUGGACCAGCACUGACGCUGAGGCACGAAAGCGUGGGGAGCAAACAGG